This 147-nucleotide ribosomal RNA is filed under the name Olea europaea subsp. europaea. RNAcentral's name for it is "LSU_rRNA_bacteria". Lineage: Eukaryota; Viridiplantae; Streptophyta; Magnoliopsida; Lamiales; Oleaceae. The record is from RNAcentral.
CUUAAAUGAUCCUUUAGUGAUAAAAGAGGUAGGAGGCAUAGAUAUAGUUAGGAGGUUUCCCUAUUAGUAAUCACCCUUGAAUGAAUGCGUAGUAGUUUACUGUUUGAGCACUCUUGCGCCGAAAAUGAACCGGGUUAAGUAAUAUUU